CAGAAUGCAAUGAGCAGGACACAUUGAUAUUUGAAUUCUUUUUCAGAGAGUUGUCGGUUGCUGUGAGGCAAUAAAGAACUUAUGUCCAUAUCCCCUGCGAGCAGUCAGCUGAACAUGAUGAUUCAUUAGUAAGUGCGACCGGAAUCCUUCCGUUAUCAAGGAGCACAUUAAAUGAUGUGACUAAGGGAUUACGAUUUGAGUAAUAAAAAGAAGUGGUACCGCGGAGAAUAUUCGUCUUCUGA
Clostridiales bacterium Nov_37_41 is the source of this 242-nucleotide non-coding RNA. The record is from Rfam. Lineage: Bacteria; Bacillati; Bacillota; Clostridia; Eubacteriales.